RNAcentral lists this ribosomal RNA (389 nucleotides) under Photidae sp. BOLD:ADG4489. Its description in RNAcentral is "partial 16S ribosomal RNA". The stretch from base 257 to 389 matches the Rfam family "Bacterial large subunit ribosomal RNA", at positions 2473 to 2606 of the family's 2925-position model. The record is from RNAcentral. Lineage: Eukaryota; Metazoa; Arthropoda; Malacostraca; Amphipoda; Photidae.
UGGGGGCUUGAUGACGGUGGCACGGCUAUAGGUUUUUUUAAGGUUUUAAGUAAAAUUUGGAGUCCAAGUAAAAAUACUUGGGUUGACUAGGUAGACGAUAAGACCCUAAAAGCUUUACUCAAUAAGGAUUUUAGAUUUAAAAUAUUUUAUAAAUUGUGUAUGAGUUUUACUGGGGUAGUGUAUGUAUUAGGUUAUGUGUUUAUAGACUUUAGGGUAAUUGAACCUUAAUAUUAAGGUUUGUUUAAGUUACUUUAGGGAUAACAGCAUAAUAGUUUUGGGGAGUUCUAAUCUAUAAAAUUGUUUGUGACCUCGAUGUUGAAUUAAUAUGUCUUUGUGAAGCAGUAUUUAUGAGAGAAAGUUUGUUCAACUUUUAAUAUAUUACAUGAUUU